RNAcentral lists this ribosomal RNA (441 nucleotides) under uncultured bacterium. RNAcentral's name for it is "partial 16S ribosomal RNA". It matches the Rfam family "Bacterial small subunit ribosomal RNA", at positions 338 to 795 of the family's 1533-position model. The record is from RNAcentral.
CCUACGGGUGGCAGCAGUCGGGAAUAUUGCGCAAUGGAGGAAACUCUGACGCAGUGACGCCGCGUAUAGGAAGAAGGUUUUCGGAUUGUAAACUCUUUUCUUUAGGGAAGAGAAAGGACAGUACCUAAGGAUGAAGCUCUUGCUAACUACGUGCCAGCAGCCGCGGUAAUACGUAGGGAGCGCGCGUUAUCCGGCAUUAUUGGGUGUAAAGGGUGCUUAGACGGGAAUGCAAGUUAGUUGUGAAAUCCCUCGUCUUAACUGAGGAACUGCAACUAAACCUACAGUUCUUGAGUGCAGGAGAGGUAAGUGGAAUUCCUAGUGUAGCGGUGAAAUGCAUAGAUAUCACGCAGAACUCCGAUUGCGAAGGCAGCAUACCGGCGCCCGACUGACGCUGAAGCACGAAAGCGUGGGUAUCGAACAGGAUUAGAUACCCCAGUAGUC